RNAcentral lists this ribosomal RNA (497 nucleotides) under uncultured bacterium. Its description in RNAcentral is "partial 16S ribosomal RNA". It matches the Rfam family "Bacterial small subunit ribosomal RNA", at positions 28 to 507 of the family's 1533-position model. The record is from RNAcentral.
GAUGAACGCUGGCGGCGUGCCUAAUACAUGCAAGUCGAGCGAACGGACGAGAAGCUUGCUUCUCUGAUGUUAGCGGCGGACGGGUGAGUAACACGUGGAUAACCUACCUAUAAGACUGGGAUAACUUCGGGAAACCGUAGCUAAUACCGGAUAAUAUUUUGAACCGCAUGGUUCAAAAGUGAAAGACGGUCUUGCUGUCACUUAUAGAUGGAUCCGCGCUGCAUUAGCUAGUUGGUAAGGUAACGGCUUACCAAGGCAACGAUGCAUAGCCGACCUGAGAGGGGGAUCGGCCACACUGGAACUGAGACACGGUCCAGACUCCUACGGGAGGCAGCAGUAGGGAAUCUUCCGCAAUGGGCGAAAGCCUGACGGAGCAACGCCACGUGAGUGAUGAAGGUCUUCGGAUCGUAAAACUCUGUUAUUAGGGAAGAACAUAUGUGUAAGUAACUGUGCACAGCUUGACGGUACCUAAUCAGAAAGCCACGGCUAACUACGUG